Molecule: long non-coding RNA, 1878 nt
Organism: Astyanax mexicanus (Mexican tetra)
Lineage: Eukaryota; Metazoa; Chordata; Actinopteri; Characiformes; Acestrorhamphidae
Exons: 4
Source: RefSeq, a predicted model, not a curated record
UGAGAGCCGCUGUAAAUUUCCUCAGCCUGAAGAAGCAGCGGCGUGUCAGGCAGCCGCUGUUCAGCAGCCUUUAGAGACUGUAAGGACUUUUCUGGUGCUGUUAUAACUCUGUAUUUUAGCGUAGAAGAGGAAAGGUGAACAUAGAAAUGGUUCUGGUGAGCUGACUUUACCCUAAAGAGGGAAACGACGAGAUUGACAUCUGAACGGAUGAAGAUAUUGGAUAUUACCUGAGACUACUACAAACAGUCGGGGCGUUUUCCAGAUGCGCACAGAGCUUGGUACAGCGCUCUUGAUUUGUGAGCUGUCAUCCUUGCACCAAGAGGAAGAAGGGAGAGAGGGAGAGAGGGGGGAGGAAGAGAGCAAACGUCUUUUGGGUCAAAGCAGGCGGAUGCGGAUCGUCUGUAGAUGGAGGUCGUUGGUCUGUCGGACUGUGUUUAUGUGGCCCAGAUGUGUCGCAGGAAACGCCGGAACUUCAGCUGUAACAUAGACAGUCUGUCCAGCACUCUCUCUCUCUCUCUCUCUCAUAUUCCUCCUUUCUCUUUCUCUCUCUCACUCAUUCCUCCCCUCUCUCUCUCUCUCUCUCUCUCUCUCUGUUGCCAAAGAUUAGUUUGCACUGUUUUGCUACUGCGGAAUAUUCCCAUGUGGGUUUAACCAGUAAAAUAACCAGCAACCAGGAAUCAUGAAGGUGAAGGAUAUCCCUUCUAGAUAAAUAAAAUCAGAGGUGCCUAUUAAUCACACCAGAGGUUCAGACCUGCAGGAAAUAGACUAAAGGCUUGUUGUAGUCGUGAUAAUGAAAGUCUGGCUGUGGCUUUGUGUAACUUGUCAUACGAUUAUUUGGGCUGGCUGGGGUUCACCUCCAGUUUACGAGUGUUGCAUAAAACUUAUUGCAAAGGCUGCAGGGGAAACUCUAUUGACAGUUGUACUUUGUUUUACCUCAUAAAAGUAUUCCACUCUGCUAUUUUUAUAGCUGCUUUAGUUGAGCGGAGGAAAGCUCAGUCCAGUGUGCAAAAAUGAUCCUUCAUUUAUUAUCUACACAAAAAAUAUUGCUUUAAAUUUACAUCAAUCAAAUGUCUAAAAUGUAUUUUUUUUUAACCAAAAUAAGAAAGCGCAAAAAAUCCAAUUGCGUUGAUGUAACACAUUUGUUCAUGUAAAACAGCUUGACACAUUAGAGUCAUUGACCAUUUUUUCACUGUAUUCAGUCGAAUAUAAAUUAUAUAUGACCUAAGAUUCUUAUAAUAAAUCAGAGUUUAAAGCUUUACGUCAGUUUGACAAAUGUUUCUUAGUGUUGUUUUCACAUACAGAAUAAACCAAAAGCAUUCCUCAUUGUACUUUCUUUGGACUUCAAGAGAACAUAUUGGUUUCACAGCAGUUACAAAAGAAUCAAAUUGUAUAGCUAGUAUUAAGUUGGAACUGAAGUUCUCAGACUUGUUUUUGCAUCGCUUCAGUGCUGUAGUACUGUCGCCUCUACAGGUUUCAUUCUGUUUUUUUAAAGGGUUAAAGGUCAGUACAUUUAAUGAGGUCAAAGUCAGGACAGAAAGAGGGCAGAUAAAGUGUGUGUUUUAGGGGUUGGAUAAAAGGACCAAGGAAGUGUUCUGUACUUACCUUUUAGGAUUCAUUUAAUUUUGUUCAAGAAAUUAGUGUAAAAAGUGAAGUUUAUUAAAUGUUUGUAUAUUAAAUGUAGAGAACUAUGCUACACCCUGUUGUCAUCAAAUAGGUUCGCUGCAUCUCCCUGUACUUUGCUUUGACAUGGAUUGGUUUAUGCAAUGCUGUUAGUUUGGUGAGCUGCUUUUCAAGGUCCAAAAUCACCCCCCUCAAAUAGGAUAAAUAAGAUUUAAUCUACAGUUACAGUAGGUACAGAAAUCAGAAAUUGCAUUUAUA